RNAcentral lists this ribosomal RNA (253 nucleotides) under uncultured bacterium. RNAcentral's name for it is "partial 16S ribosomal RNA". It matches the Rfam family "Bacterial small subunit ribosomal RNA", at positions 524 to 776 of the family's 1533-position model. The record is from RNAcentral.
UACGAAGGGGGCAAGCGUUGUUCGGAUUUACUGGGCGUAAAGGGCGCGUAGGCGGAUAUGCAAGUCAGAGGUGAAAGCCCUGGGCUCAACCCGGGAAUGGCCUUUGAGACUGCAAGUCUUGAGUGCGAGAGAGGGUGGCGGAAUACCCAGUGUAGAGGUGAAAUUCGUAGAUAUUGGGUAGAAUACCGGUGGCGAAGGCGGCCACCUGGCUCGCAACUGACGCUGAGGCGCGAAAGCUUGGGGAGCAGACAGG